UCCUGCUAGUGAUGAAGAUCGCACACGUCCCAUACUACUCAUGUAUGCAACUCUAACAUCCUAACAUUUCAUCACACACCCAUUCAUAUUAUUUAGUCACACAAACAAUUUAUUUAAAUAUACCAAUAUCAACAAAAAGAAAAAUAUGUCUAUGAUUAGUGAAAAUAAUGAAAAUAAAUAUUCAAUAAUAGUACCAAAAAUAGAGAUAAUAAGAGGUGAAGUAAGUGGUAUAGAAAUAGCAAAACAUUACUGCACUUAAAUAGUUUGGUAUUUGAAACCUUUGCUUCCAUUGGUGGUGUGUGAAAGCAACAUAGAUACAACUCAUACAAUCCUUAAUAUGAUCAAUUAACCAUUAGAAGAUACUUAUUAAGUUUUGCUUCUGCAACCACUGUGAUGUCCUGAGAAAUGAAUGUAGAAACUCAACAAUAUUCUGCUUUAACCAAAACCGAAAAUGCUCUAUAAUGUUCAGCAAAGAAAAAACAGAUCAUGAAUCUAGUUAUGCUGAGCACUUAACCAUAAAUUUAAAACUUUAAAAUCCAAUUCUCACAGGAUAGUCUAAACUCCCUGAAGUCCAAAACACAAUCAGAUCGAAACAAAUUAUAAUCGUAAAAACAAUUUUUGAUCCAUAGCAAUAUCACACAUACAUGUUUGGAAUAGCCCAAUAUCGACAAAACUCAGCAAAAUCAACAUAACCAUAAAUCAAUACAACUGAUAAACAGAGUUUUUAGCAAUGGUUUAGCAAAAAAUACCCAACGCCGUGCAAUCAUACUGCUUUAGUGGUGUCGCCGCGAGUUUGUUAACCCUCCAUCAUUCGGGAGUUAUCGAACACAGAACAAUUGUUGUUGCUUUUGGCUCGCGGACGCUGUUGCUUCUACCGGUAGCGUCAUUGUUGUUGGAUGAGCAAGCAGUCGGGUUUGGGUGUUGGUGUUCGUCGGUGUUGAUGCGAACGGAUUGGCUCGCGGACGCUGUUGCUUCUACCGGUAGCGUCAUUGUUGUUGGAUGAGCAAGCAGUCGGGUUUGGGUGUUGGUGUUCGUCGGUGUUGAUGCGAACGGAUCUGGACGAAAAUGCGAAGGAGAAGGGUGUGGUUUCACAGAAGCGGUCUCGCGGUGGAUUUUGGACGGAGCUCGUGAUUUCCGGCGAGAUCGAUGAAGGUUAUUCGCGGUGGAUGUGGAAGAUUGAGGUUUGUGGUUAACGGACGCGUUUGUUUACGGCGGAGAAGACGGAGAAGGUUGUGCGGUGUUUUAUAGUGGAAUUGUUUGGAG
This 1263-nucleotide long non-coding RNA is filed under the name Lathyrus oleraceus (garden pea). RNAcentral describes it as "Pisum sativum (pea) long non-coding RNA (PSAT_LNC000658)". Lineage: Eukaryota; Viridiplantae; Streptophyta; Magnoliopsida; Fabales; Fabaceae. The record is from RNAcentral.